UACUAUAAGAACUUAUAUCCUUGAAAAUGUUACUUUCAUAAAUAUAAAUAUUCCCAAAUUAUAAAAUAAGAUGUGGGAAAUAAGAAACUCUGGGGUGAUUUAAAGUUUCUACCACUUCCUAAAGAUAUUGUUUAAUAGAAUAAUCCAUGCUAAAUGGUUAAAUUAUGAAACAGAAAUAUAUAAACUGCCUUUCAUAACAAGUUAAUCAAAUUGAGGAACAUUUAGUGUAAAAGUGCCUUAAAAGUUUUCUUUUUGCGCAGCACAAUUUCUCAAACAAAAUCUAACCCUAUAGCAUAAGAUAAAUAUAAAUAAUAAUGAGAUUCUCCAGGCAGUUUAUAGUUCUUCAAAACACAGAAGUCCAAUCACAAGUAAUAAUAAAUAUCAGAUUAUUCAAAGUCCCACAGAAUUAAGGAAGACUUGUGCUCAUCAAUAUGCUAAUCUAAGUGUAUUACUCAUGAAAUUUUUGCAUGAAUUCAAUGUAUUAAUAAUCAAGAAAUAGACCCAAAUAGAAAUUAUAAAUGUUGCAUUUAAUUUUAGUAUAUUAAAGACAAGAAACCCCCCAGCAACUAACUUGUCACUUUGCACAGUAAUUUUAACAUAAAAGGUUUAAACUUAUUUAUUUGGCCAACAUUUUCUUCACUGCAUAUAGUCUAAAAAAAAAAAAAAAAAAAAAGACAUCAGAAAUCCGUGGGAUAUAUUUCAUAAACAAGGGAAUAACAUAAAUUAUUAAAUUUCUGGUAGAGGAGUUAAUUCUGCAUUAAAUGAGCUUAAGCUAUUGGUAAUACAACAGAAAUUGUAAGAAAUUCCUUGAUAAGAGGUAAGAAAAUAGAAUUUUUCAGCUGGAAAUGUACUGAUAAUGGUCUCAUUUCUUCUCCCAGAUAUGCAAGCAGUAUGUCUAAAUACUUACUAGAGCCAAAUCUAUCUCAAAACUUUAGGACAUUAAUUUUUCUCCUUUUUGUUAAUACUCAACGAGAAACAACACUUAGAAUACAACUUUUUCCAUGAAUAAGGGAUAGUAAUAUCC
RNAcentral lists this long non-coding RNA (1024 nucleotides) under Equus asinus (donkey). The record is from RNAcentral. Lineage: Eukaryota; Metazoa; Chordata; Mammalia; Perissodactyla; Equidae.